This 300-nucleotide ribosomal RNA is filed under the name Bacillus licheniformis. RNAcentral's name for it is "partial 23S ribosomal RNA". It matches the Rfam family "Bacterial large subunit ribosomal RNA", at positions 2629 to 2925 of the family's 2925-position model. Lineage: Bacteria; Bacillati; Bacillota; Bacilli; Caryophanales; Bacillaceae. The record is from RNAcentral.
GUUCGGUCCCUAUCCGUCGCGGGCGCAGGAAAUUUGAGAGGAGCUGUCCUUAGUACGAGAGGACCGGGAUGGACGCACCGCUGGUGUACCAGUUGUUCUGCCAAGGGCAUCGCUGGGUAGCUAUGUGCGGACGGGAUAAGUGCUGAAAGCAUCUAAGCAUGAAGCCCCCCUCAAGAUGAGAUUUCCCAUUCCUAUAAGGAAGUAAGAUCCCUGAAAGAUGAUCAGGUUGAUAGGUCUGAGGUGGAAGUGUGGCGACACAUGGAGCUGACAGAUACUAAUCGAUCGAGGACUUAACCUAAA